AGAACGAACGCUGGCGGCACGCCUAACACAUGCAAGUCGAGCGCCCAGCAAUGGGAGCGGCGGACGGGUGAGGAACACGUGGGAAUAUGCCUUUCGGUUCGGCACAACUGCGGGAAACUGCAGCUAAUUCCGGAUACGCCCUUACGGGGAAAGAUUUAUCGCCGAAAGAUUAGCCCGCGUCUGAUUAGCUAGUUGGUGAGGUAAUGGCUCACCAAGGCUUCGAUCAGUAGCUGGUUUGAGAGAACGACCAGCCACACUGGGACUGAGACACGGCCCAGACUCCUACGGGAGGCAGCAGUGGGGAAUCUUGGACAAUGGAGGAAACUCUGAUCCAGCGAUGCCGCGUGAGUGAUGAAGGCCUUCGGGUUGUAAAACUCUUUUACCAGGGAAGAUAAUGACUGUACCUGGAGAUAAGCUCGGCUAACUUCGUGCCAGCAGCCGC
Molecule: ribosomal RNA, 442 nt
Filed under: uncultured bacterium
Lineage: Bacteria
Description: SSU rRNA
Rfam family: Bacterial small subunit ribosomal RNA
Source: RNAcentral